AUGCUCGCUUCGGCAGCACAUACACUAAAAUUGGAAUGAUACAGAGAAGAUUAGCAUGGCCCCUGCACAAGGAUGGCAUGCAAAUUUGUGAAGCGUUCCAUAUUUUU
Molecule: small nuclear RNA, 107 nt
Filed under: Jaculus jaculus (lesser Egyptian jerboa)
Lineage: Eukaryota; Metazoa; Chordata; Mammalia; Rodentia; Dipodidae
Source: RNAcentral